UACGGAGGGUGCAAGCGUUAUCCGGAUUCACUGGGUUUAAAGGGUGCGUAGGCGGGCAGGUAAGUCCGUGGUGAAAUCUCUGAGCUUAACUCAGAAACUGCCUUUGAUACUCUCUGUCUUGAAUAUGGUGGAGGUAAGCGGAAUAUGUCAUGUAGCGGUGAAAUGCUUAGAGAUGACAUAGAACACCUAUUGCGAAGGCAGCUUACUACGCCUAUAUUGACGCUGAGGCACGAAAGCGUGGGGAUCAAACAGG
This 253-nucleotide ribosomal RNA is filed under the name uncultured bacterium. Its description in RNAcentral is "partial 16S ribosomal RNA". It matches the Rfam family "Bacterial small subunit ribosomal RNA", at positions 524 to 776 of the family's 1533-position model. The record is from RNAcentral.